GGGAUUAUAGUUAAUAAUAACAUUUAGUUUGCAUCUAAAAAGUAUUGAAUAAUCAAUUAUUCUCA
This 65-nucleotide transfer RNA is filed under the name Deronectes hispanicus. RNAcentral describes it as "tRNA-Ala". The record is from RNAcentral. RNAcentral also lists the same sequence under 1 other name. Lineage: Eukaryota; Metazoa; Arthropoda; Insecta; Coleoptera; Dytiscidae.